AUUAAGUUGUUGCAGUUAAAAAGCUCGUAGUUGGAUUUCUGGUUGGAGCGACCGGUCGGGCAUUGAUUUGUCUGCACUGGAGUCGGUUCCGUCCAUCCUCUUGGAAAGUGCGUAUGGCAUUAAGUUGUCGUGCGUAUGAUCCAGGUCUUUUACUGUGAAAAAAUUAGAGUGUUUAAAGCAGGCCUUCGCCUUGAAUACAUUAGCAUGGAAUAAUAAGAUAGGACUUGGGUCUAUUUUGUUGGUUUGCAGACCGAAGUAAUGAUUAAUAGGGAUAGUUGGGGGUAUUUAUAUUCCGAUGUCAGAGGUGAAAUUCUUAGAUUUUCGGAAGAUAAACUUAUGCGAAAGCAUUUACCAAGGAUGUUUUCAUUAAUCAAGAACGAAAGUUAGGGGGUCGAAGAUGAUUAGAUACCAUCGUAGUCUUAACCAUAAACUAUGCCGACUCAGGAUUGGUGAACGUUGAUUUAAUGACUUCAUCAGCACUGUAUGAGAAAUCAAAGUCUUU
RNAcentral lists this ribosomal RNA (502 nucleotides) under uncultured marine eukaryote. Its description in RNAcentral is "SSU rRNA". It matches the Rfam family "Eukaryotic small subunit ribosomal RNA", at positions 607 to 1108 of the family's 1831-position model. The record is from RNAcentral.